Molecule: transfer RNA, 61 nt
Filed under: Ictidomys tridecemlineatus (thirteen-lined ground squirrel)
Lineage: Eukaryota; Metazoa; Chordata; Mammalia; Rodentia; Sciuridae
Description: Spermophilus tridecemlineatus (thirteen-lined ground squirrel) tRNA
Rfam family: tRNA
About the family: Transfer RNA (tRNA) molecules are approximately 80 nucleotides in length. Their secondary structure includes four short double-helical elements and three loops (D, anti-codon, and T loops). Further hydrogen bonds mediate the characteristic L-shaped molecular structure. tRNAs have two regions of fundamental functional importance: the anti-codon, which is responsible for specific mRNA codon recognition, and the 3' end, to which the tRNAs corresponding amino acid is attached (by aminoacyl-tRNA synthetases). tRNAs cope with the degeneracy of the genetic code in two manners: having more than one tRNA (with a specific anti-codon) for a particular amino acid; and 'wobble' base-pairing, i.e. permitting non-standard base-pairing at the 3rd anti-codon position.
Source: Rfam by way of RNAcentral
UGUAGCUCAGUGGUAAAGCACUUGCCCUGCAUGCAUGAGGCACUGAGUUCGAUCCUCAGCA